UCGGGUAUGGUGUAACGGCUAACAUUGCCGCCUCUCAUGUACCAGGCAUCCGGGGACCAUAGUACGCGGCAGCUCGGGGUUCGAUUCCCCGUACCCGAA
This is a non-coding RNA of Lyophyllum atratum, 99 nucleotides long. The record is from the annotation of a GenBank genome assembly. NCBI's taxonomy places the organism in Eukaryota, Fungi, Basidiomycota, Agaricomycetes, Agaricales, Lyophyllaceae.